AUUGAACGCUGGCGGCAGGCCUAACACAUGCAAGUCGAACGGUAACAGGAAGAAGCUUGCUUCUUUGCUGACGAGUGGCGGACGGGUGAGUAAUGUCUGUGAAACUGCCUGAUGGAGGGGGAUAACUACUGGAAACGGUAGCUACUACCGCAUAACGUCGCAAGACCAAAGAGGGGGACCUUCGGGCCUCUUGCCAUCGGAUGUGCCCAGAUGGGAUUAGCUAGUUGGUGGGGUAACGGCUCACCUAGGCGACGAUCCGUAGCUGGUCUGAGAGGAUGACCAGCCACACUGGAACUGAGACACGGUCCAGACUCCUACGGGAGGCAGCAGUGGGGAAUAUUGCACAAUGGGCGCAAGCCUGAUGCAGCCAUGCCGCGUGUAUGAUGAAGGCCUUCGGGUUGUAAAGUACUUUCAGCAGGGAGGAAGGGAGUCAAGUUAAUACCUUGGCUAAUUGACGUUACCUGCAGAAGAAGCACCGGCUAACUCCGUG
This 490-nucleotide ribosomal RNA is filed under the name uncultured bacterium. RNAcentral describes it as "partial 16S ribosomal RNA". It matches the Rfam family "Bacterial small subunit ribosomal RNA", at positions 30 to 507 of the family's 1533-position model. The record is from RNAcentral.